This 503-nucleotide ribosomal RNA is filed under the name uncultured bacterium. RNAcentral describes it as "partial 16S ribosomal RNA". It matches the Rfam family "Bacterial small subunit ribosomal RNA", at positions 29 to 507 of the family's 1533-position model. The record is from RNAcentral.
AACGAACGCUGGCGGCGUGCCUAACACAUGCAAGUCGAACGAGAAAGGGGCUUCGGCUCCGAGUAAAGUGGCGCACGGGUGAGUAACACGCGGGUAACCUGCCUCUAAGAUUGGGAUAACUCGUCGAAAGAUGAGCUAAUACCGAAUAAGACCACAGUUCCCGCGGGAACAGGGGUCAAAGGUAGCCUCUGCUUGCAAGCUAUCACUUAGAGAUGGGCCUGCGCACCAUUAGCUAGUUGGUAGGGUAACGGCCUACCAAGGCAAAGAUGGUUAGCUGGUCUGAGAGGAUGAUCAGCCACACUGGAACUGAGACACGGUCCAGACUCCUACGGGAGGCAGCAGUGGGGAAUAUUGCGCAAUGGGCGAAAGCUUGACGCAGCAACGCCGCGUGAGUGAUGAAGGCCUUCGGGUCGUAAAGCUCUGUCGGGAGGAACGAAUGCUCCUGAGGUUAACAGCCUCGGGAGGUGACGGUACCUUCAAAGGAAGCACCGGCUAACUCUGUG